RNAcentral lists this ribosomal RNA (464 nucleotides) under uncultured Klebsiella sp. Its description in RNAcentral is "bacterial SSU rRNA". It matches the Rfam family "Bacterial small subunit ribosomal RNA", at positions 339 to 795 of the family's 1533-position model. The record is from RNAcentral. Lineage: Bacteria; Pseudomonadati; Pseudomonadota; Gammaproteobacteria; Enterobacterales; Enterobacteriaceae.
CCUCGGGUGGCUGCAGUGGGGAAUAUUGCACAAUGGGCGCAAGCCUGAUGCAGCCAUGCCGCGUGUGUGAAGAAGGCCUUCGGGUUGUAAAGCACUUUCAGCGGGGAGGAAGGCGUUAAGGUUAAUAACCUUGUCGAUUGACGUUACCCACAGAAGAAGCACCGGCUAACUCCGUGCCAGCAGCCGCGGUAAUACGGAGGGUGCAAGCGUUAAUCGGAAUUACUGGGCGUAAAGCGCACGCAGGCGGUCUGUCAAGUCGGAUGUGAAAUCCCCGGGCUCAACCUGGGAACUGCAUUCGAAACUGGCAGGCUAGAGUCUUGUAGAGGGGGGUAGAAUUCCAGGUGUAGCGGUGAAAUGCGUAGAGAUCUGGAGGAAUACCGGUGGCGAAGGCGGCCCCCUGGGCAAAGACUGACGCUCAGGUGCGAAAGCGUGGGGAGCAAACAGGAUUAGAUACCCGAGUAGUC